This 389-nucleotide ribosomal RNA is filed under the name uncultured bacterium. RNAcentral describes it as "bacterial SSU rRNA". It matches the Rfam family "Bacterial small subunit ribosomal RNA", at positions 28 to 417 of the family's 1533-position model. The record is from RNAcentral.
GACGAACGCUGGCGGCGUGCUUAACACAUGCAAGUCGAGCGGUAAGGCCCUUUCGGGGGUACGACGAGCGGCGAACGGGUGAGUAACACGUGGGUGACCUGCCCUCAGCUCUGGGAUAAGCCCGGGAAACUGGGUCUAAUACCGGAUAUGACUCCAUGACGCAUGUUGUGGGGUGGAAAGCCUUGUGCGGCUGAGGAUGGGCCCGCGGCCUAUCAGCUUGUUGGUGGGGUGAUGGCCUACCAAGGCGACGACGGGUAGCCGGCCUGAGAGGGCGACCGGCCACACUGGGACUGAGACACGGCCCAGACUCCUACGGGAGGCAGCAGUGGGGAAUCUUGCGCAAUGGGCGAAAGCCUGACGCAGCGACGCCGCGUGAGGGAUGACGGCCU